UGGGAUGUAGCUCAGUGGUAGGGUGUUUGCCUAACAUGUAUGAGGCGCUGGGUUCAAUCCCCAGCACUGCAA
This 72-nucleotide transfer RNA is filed under the name Ictidomys tridecemlineatus (thirteen-lined ground squirrel). RNAcentral describes it as "Spermophilus tridecemlineatus (thirteen-lined ground squirrel) tRNA". It matches the Rfam family "tRNA". From Rfam's summary of the family: Transfer RNA (tRNA) molecules are approximately 80 nucleotides in length. Lineage: Eukaryota; Metazoa; Chordata; Mammalia; Rodentia; Sciuridae. The record is from Rfam by way of RNAcentral.